UCAGGACUAUUACUUUGAAAAAAUUAGAGUGUUUAAAGCAGGCUAAUAACUGAAUACAUUAGCAUGGAAUAAUGAAAUAGGACGGCUUGGUUCUAUUUUAUUGGUUUCUAGGAUCACCGUAAUGAUUAAUAAGGAUAGUUGAGGGCAUUAGUAUUCAAUUGUCAGAGGUGAAAUUCUUGGAUUUAUUGAAGACUAACUACUGCGAAAGCAUUUGCCAAGGAUGUUUUCAUUGAUCAAGAAUGAAAGUUAGGGGAUCGAAGACGAUCAGAUACCGUCGUAGUCUUAACCAUAAACUAUGCCGACUAGGGAUCGGACGGUGUUAUUUUUGACCCGUUCGGCGCCUUACGGGAAAC
RNAcentral lists this ribosomal RNA (353 nucleotides) under uncultured Diversispora. Its description in RNAcentral is "SSU rRNA". It matches the Rfam family "Eukaryotic small subunit ribosomal RNA", at positions 743 to 1098 of the family's 1831-position model. Lineage: Eukaryota; Fungi; Glomeromycota; Glomeromycetes; Diversisporales; Diversisporaceae. The record is from RNAcentral.